AUCCCCACAAUCUACUGCCCUUUACAAUCAGCUAUCUUUUGGAGGGUACUGCUGAUCAUGAGAGUCUGACAAAGGGAGAAAACCGACCUCUCAUGCAUGCAUGCUUCACAGAAACUACCUUGGGAAUUGUGAUUCCAUCAUACCA
Pomacea canaliculata is the source of this 145-nucleotide long non-coding RNA. RefSeq lists it as uncharacterized. NCBI's taxonomy places the organism in Eukaryota, Metazoa, Mollusca, Gastropoda, Architaenioglossa, Ampullariidae. The record is from RefSeq and is a predicted model, not a curated record. The transcript has 3 exons.